UCAAGUCCAUAUGUUACGAUUUAACCCUCAAUGUCUAGAAAUUUAACAUUUAACACCCCCAGGUGUGCACCACGCUAAUUUAAUACAAAUUUAGGGUUAAAAUAAAAACUUUAAAAAUACAUCUUGGAGUUUUAGAGUUUAUUAUUUAUUUGUUUAUUUAUUUAUAUAUAUGUUAUUUUAUUUUACUUAAUUUUAUUUUAAACGGAAUGUUACACGAGAUCUCAUCAGCUUUUUUCAGUUGUGAGGUGAGUCUUCCUCACUAUAGUUACGUGUGACAACCCGAAAUUUCCAUUCUGAACAAACCAUAUCAAUCCAAUAGAGCUUAGAACAGUUUCAGUGAAAUUCCAAACUUCAGGUAUAAGCUUGGCAGUUUUUUAGGAUUUACACUUAAGGAGAUAUCAGGAGAGUGGUUGCGCUAGGGUUUUGUGCAACACUGUUAUUCCAGCACUCUGUUAUAUUAGAAAUCAUUUCAGAAUAAAAAUAUUUUCUGCCAAAAAUAUCUCAGGACUAUAAAUAUAAUUCUGAACAAAAUUCAUUCAUUAUUCGCAUUUCCAACUAGAGAAAAGCCAUUUUCUCUCUCACAGAUCUUCGGGUUUUUAUCCCCAAUCGUGAGUACACUUCUCUAGUUGUCUUAUAAUGCUUAUUAUGUGCUUAACAACUUAGAUUACAUAUCAAAUCUGUGAGAUUCGGGAGUUUACCGCCCAAGAACGUUCUUGGAGAGUAAACUCCUAUAUAUGGCUUAAAUGCUACCUAGUCUUUUCCCCAUGUUAGGUAACGGACAUAGGCUUGUAUAUAAGUGUGUUUGAGACUAGAAAACAAACAAAACCCUAAGAUUCGGGAGUUUACCGCCCAACAACACUUGGGGAGUAAACUCCAUGUUAAGUGCUAAAGGUGUCCCAAAGUCCCUCAAAGCCAUGGAAGUCGAACUAGAGCCCACCAUUGCAUGUUUAGGACACCAAAACAAUUAAGAUUCAAGGGGUGAAAGAGAGUUCAUGGCCAAGGAGGUUCUUGGGCCGUGAACUCCAUGUUUAAGUUCCAUAUUGCUUUAAAAAUCCUCCUUAAGCCAAGAUACUAAUUUGGGCAUGUACCUAGAUGAGUUAUUGACUAGCUAACAUACUUAGAACACCAAGAGUAAGGUGUUCACGGCCUAAAAGGUUCUAGGCCCGUGAACGCCAUAAAAUGGUGCCAAAAGGUGCCAUAAACUCUUCUUAAGCCUUGUAUAAUAGCCUAGUUUAGUUCCUACUUAAUUUAGGGACUUGAAAACACCAUAAACAUCCUCCCAAGGGAGAUUACAGCCGUAAUCUCCAAGGGAAUAUGGUCCCAGGGCCGUAAACUCCUAAAAGGAGCUAUAUUAUGCCCUAAACUCUUCCAUAGACCAAGCCAUUAAGUAAAAAUGCUUAUUUGGGCCUUAUAGAGCAUCAAACAUGAAAUGGUCACAUAAGUAUGAGUUCACGGCCAUAAAAUCAUGAGUUUACGGCCGUAAACUCAUUUGGUAGUGUUAUUAGGGCCGUGAACUUCAUGGUGGAGUUUUCCUUGAGCCCUACACACAAUAGCUUCCCCUACAAACACUUAGAUGCAAUCCUAGAGGCUAAUAACACUUGAUAAAGGUGUUUAGCAUGUCCUAGGGUGUCUUGACUUGUUUAUUAGUUGUUUAUAGACUAAUUUGUUACAUAUAUGUGAAAUUAUAUGUUAACUAGGAUCGUAAGUGUGUUCAUGACUUCACUUGACACCUAGCAGUCCUUCCUCUUCAGUUCAUCCGUAUCACCCAGAACAAGUGAGUUCAUACCCCUAAUCAAUGUUUUAAAUGAUUUUAAAUGCUUUAAUGGGGGGGGGAUACAAGUAGAAAACAUCAUGUUAUUAAAUCAUCUCUAUGUAUUUUAUAACUAUGUUUCCAUUCAACAAAUUUCACAUACUACAAUAUGUGAUGCAUGAAAUGGUUUUCUAUCUUUAAAAUACUUUGUUAUCAAAUGUAUUACUUAUGAAAUGAUUAUCAAAAUGACAUCAAGUCACUUCUAUAUUUGUUUAAAACCCUUAAAUGUCUUACAAAACCAUUUUACAUUCUUGAACUAAACUAUGCAUAUACACUUAUAAUCUUAUAUAUGUAUUGUUGUUAUAGUUUACAUCUUUCAUUUAGUUUGCCACACCCUUGAGUAGUAAGAGUGUGUAAACCUACUUGAACAACCAAUUACCUUUCAGUAAAUUAUCAUAGGGAUAAUUUAAAGAUAUCAAACAUUAUUCCUAUUAUAAGGAAUCACACAAGAGUCAGUUCAUUCAUGAGUCCACACCAGUACAUUACCUGAUACAUGAGUACAUUUACAUAUGCUUACUUGAUACAUGAACAUGUUUACAUAUACUUACAUGAUACAUGAACACACUUACAUGAAUACCAUACAUGAACACUAUUACAUAGAUAUAUUAUCCUGUAUUCACUUACCUGGAUACUAGUAUCUCAACUUGUGAGGAUGAUUUUUUAGUAUUUUCUGUAUAAAUUAUCUUUCCUAUCCCGGUUCAAUGGGAUAUCUUGGCGGGACUAACUAUUCCGAAUCCCAUCUGAUUAACACCAGUGGUAGAUGACCAUCUAUGGAGGUCUAAGGUUAUCAGUUAUACUAGGAAGAUUUAUUUGUACCUUCUGUGUAAAUUUUCCUACCUAUCCCUGUUCGACGGGAUGUCUAGACGGGACUAACCCUUCCGGAACCCAGCUGUUAGCAACACUGGGUGAUGAACAUCUACGGAUGUCUAAGGUUGUUACUGAUAUUAGGAGUCAGUUACGGAACUAAGCAUUCCUCCAUUCUACUGUUGCAACAGAGGAUGAGAUGAAAGUCUUCGGAUGAUUAUUAGGUUAACGCUGAUACGGGACUAUGUUGGGUUUUGAGCAAUCUAACACUUCCUAAGUGUGCAUGCAACCCUAAUAAACCUUGGAUCUAUGUUUGUCUAAUACAUGCAAAAUAAUAAUUUUUCCAAGGUUCAUAACCUAUCUAACAUGGCAUGGGGUACUUUUAAACAUAAAAGAAUUAGAUGAGAUUACAUACCUUUUGAUGAUGAGUUUGAUUCCUAAGGAGUUUGAGGGCCAAGCACCAAUAGUGUGAAUGCCUCAAAUGGAAUCACAAAUCACCACAAACUCUUGGAAAACUUUGAGAGAGUAUACACACUUGUAUAUUUCGGCCACACACAAGCUCACACACACUAGUUCACUAGUUGCCAUUUCAUGCUCCAUAAGCAUGCUUAUAUAGUGUGCAUGGUUAGGGUGAAACCCUAAUAACCCAUGACCUUUCCUUUUCCAAGGAUCCAUGGGUUAAAAGCUCCAUGGAUCAUCCAUGGACUUCCAUAUAAGCCUAGCCCAUUAACAAAUGAGUGUUAGCCCACACCAUAUAAAACAAUAGCCCACAAUUUAAUUAGUCUUCCUUUUAAUCUCUAAAUUAAUUCAUAAUUAAUUUAAGACUAACACUAAUUAAAUAACUUCAUAUUAAUAUAUUAUAACUUACAAUAUAUUAAUAAACAUAUGUGUAUAACUCUCAUAAAAUUAUCCAUAAAUAGUUUGGAUGAAAUGCAACCCAAAUGGACCAUGCCGGGUCGGGUCAAGUAUAUACCAAAUAAGUUAUGGACUUAGACACCUUAUCCAACAGACUCCCACUUGGAUAAGUCUAAUAACUGUAUUUGCGUAUGUUACUUCAGGAACCAACCAGCAAUCGUAGCUCUCGAAAACUCUGUUGAACUAUGAAGCGCCAUUUUAGAUAAGUGAUCAUAUAAUCCUCUGUUCUCAUGAUAUCAGCCGGACAAAUACAUGGAACAACGUCGUACUUAUUGUCCAGCAGUUUGUUUCCCGAUUUUCGAUUUGUUUGACAAAGAACUUAAUCGAACACAUCAAUUUAGUUCUGACCGGCCGGUACAUAGGUCACAACAAAAUCAUCGAGGGGCCCAGAUAUCGCUUCUAUUUCUAGAAGGAACAGAUAAACUUCGACUCAUAUGCUUGUUCUACUACUUGUUGAAUUGUACACAAAGGCACGUUUUAUAACAUCAAGUUACUGAUGCGUUUACGUGCAAUCAAUGCACAACCAACUCAUAGGUAACAACUCAUAUCUCUAGGUUUGAAGAUUUAUAUGAUAUUACCGUCUCACGAUCACUCGAGAUAAAUUCCAUGAAGUGAUACAAGUGAGCGUGGGUUUAUUCCAAUACUCAUAACUUAUGAGCACUCAUGAAUGUUGUAGCAACCAUUGCUAUGACUAAACCCAUUUAGCCAUCUACAAACUCGAUUCAUGACAGUCUUGAUUCAUACCUACUUCCAACAUAUGAACGACUGUGGAGUGUUUAAAUAACUUAGUCAUUCGGAAAGAAUAACCUAGCUAUUUUGGAAGUCAAAACAUGCAAAGUGAAACACAAUAAUAAUCGAAUCCAAUAUGGUCUCAGAACCCUUUUGAAUAUAAAUAGAACCACCUUUUAUUUAUCACCAUAUUGAUUACACAUUAUUCAUUGUAUAAUGUUUCAAACAAUCAACUUAAGACUUGAAUAAAAACAACAGUCGUCCCAUGCUCCUAGCAUGUACACUUUGUUUUUCUAAACAAUAGUUAUGCCAUACUCCAAGUAUGCACACUAUGUUUGUCUAUGAUCCUUACAUUGUGAUGUAGAUCAAUUGAACAUGAUUCCAAUGAUACUCAUUUCACAAUCCCAAAUCCUUAUUGUAAAUGUGAGAAUCCCCGAUUCCUAUCAUUUACCAAAAAAACUGUUAGAUUUUAAACUUUUAUGCAAUGUUCCUCUUGUAAUGAUUAUGCACAAAGUCACCAAAACCUUGUCACCAGUCAUUACAGAGUAUUCCAAAGAAGGUCAACUUCUAUGGAACGGAAGUCUCAUAUUCAAAGUACAUUGCUUUGAACAUCCUUCUUGCAUUAAGGUUUUCUAAUCUUACAUAGAUUGAAUAACUUCCACCUAUGGAGACAUUUCCAUAGUCCCAUUUUGACUAUCACUUCCGAACAAGAGUUACUUCUUUUCAGAAUAUGUCAAUAUGGUCCUUUCCGACAACUUACAUCAUACUUCCAACUUUCCCUGAGCAACCAAUCUUUGGCGAACCUCAGAUUGUCCUCGACAAUUGCUUAAUCACUUUAGUCAUAUCCAGUUCUAGACUUUUCCCUUCUCAAUGCCUUAAGCAUUUGGAAAAUUUAGAAAAGAUGAAUAUUAUAGCACAUGCAAUCGAUCCUAUAUCCGAAGCAUAUGGGACACGAUUCAUGAUGUUUGACAUAAAGACAUGAUACUAGACCAGUCUUUUGCUACAAUAUUUUUUAUUUGCCAUGUUUUCAAAAUUUAACUAUGAAGAGGGAUGCCGUAAUCAUAAUCGAAUUUUGAAAACGCAAUAUAUAUAGAAUUUCUUCAAGUUGAACCAUUCCAACAUAAAAUUCAUAUAUAUAUUCUUGACUAAAGAUGAUUAAAAUCUCAAUCUAAGCUUUAGAAUUGAAAUGAAGUAUAAUUUCCUCUCCCUUAAUUAUAGCAAAACAACUUUUCAACCCCUGCAACUUCACGAAUUGAAACUUUGUUUUCUAUAAUUAACAUUGCUAACUUGCAACACUAAACGUAAUAAUCAUGCUCCCACUAACAUGAUGAUUAUCAGCAUAACACUUAUGCUCCCACUAGCUCUGACAUAUUUCCAGAAAUCUGCUGGACUUCUGAAAUUUAGAUUCAUACACCCUUUCUUAGAUAGCUCACAUGUGUGUCUAAACAAUUUUCAGAACUAUGAAAAGGGAUGCCGUAAUCAUAGUCUCAAUUGCUUAGGCAUUUGCCAUUUCUCACAAGUCCAUGUUAGUGUGCCGGUUAACCACACGCGCUCCACUAACGACUUUUGAAAAUGCAAAUAACACAAUUGAUAUCUACGUAAAAUCUACUUAGUGAAAGCGUUUCCUCACCAUCAUUUUCAUGAAUCGGAGAGAAACCUUAUGACACUUAGAUUUUAUAGUGUAUGAGUUCCUAUCCAUGUGAAUUUGUCAAAACCAUAAUCACAAGAUAAGGUUAGUGACAAAUUCAGCCUUACAUGGAUUAAACUUGUUCAAUCUUAGUUUCUUGUCACCUUGGUAGCACAAGGCCCACCAAUGCUUCCAAGUUGAACUCUGAUAACUCACAUGCAAAUUCAACUUAUUUGAAGUAGGUACAGAAAUAAGAAUUAUGUCAACACGAUAGGUUGCAAACCUUAAGUCGUGUGCUAGUGAUAAAUUACAGGUUUUACUCUUGAUUAAAUCUUGAAACUCUUUCAGGAUCUUUAAGGCUCCCACUGUCCCCUUGACAUAUAAGUUUCCCCAGUCAAGAACCAUUCCUUGACAAAACAAAUAUUCAAGGGAUAGUGCGGAUUCUUAUCAAGACUAACACUUCACACAAUUGGUCUUAGUUGGUCUUUGUCUCAUCCAAGACAUCACAACUUACCAAUCUCAAAUGUACAAGAGUAGAAAACAUUUUACUCUUACAUUUGACUAGUGUUAAUAAAUCUUCCUUUAUGUCACUCAAAGUUACAAUCUUGGAGUAUGACUCUAAGAAUUGUUUUGGAACGAAGUAUGACUCAUCUUCUUGAUUUUAACCAAUCCAACAAUUCAUGACCUCUCUUCUUAGCCAUAACAAUGCACUAAGACGUCCUUAGAGUAUGAAUUUGUGAUAUGGUUUCAUAAUCAUUAAGAUGAUCAUGAAAUACGAUACUAAAGUACUCUCCCAUCCUUUCAGAUUUGAGAAACUUUUAUCUUUCUGCCUAAUUUGAUUCUUCUCAUUUGUUUUGUCAUACAUUGUAACCUUUCCAAUGUUACAGAAUUAUACUUAACCUCAUAAGUAUAAUCAUAUUUACUAAUCUUUAGUAAAUCAUGACAAAUCAAUCUUUGUGGUGGACCUUGACCAGCGCACACCCAGUGUACCUAAUUCCUUAGUCCUUCAAUUGACUCACAUAUACAUGUGAUCAAAGAAUUAGUCUUAAUUUUCAAAGAUGAAAAUUCUCAUUCAUCAUACAAUACAACUUGUAUGAUUCCAAGUUUCUGUCCAAUUGAAACUUGGGUGAUGAAAAACUUUCUUCAUUUGGUAAAUUCAGACACUACCACAAAUGAAAGAAUCAAAUCCACUUUCCAAUAUUGCUAUUACUGGAAACAUAUAAGCAACAAUUUUCCACAGAUGCCAUUGUAAGGAUAUUUUUAAAAUAAAUAAAAUUAAAACCCUUUUUUUUUUUUUUUUUAAAACUUUGCGGAAAAACUUAUCCUUACAAUCCACAUGAAAACCUUGUUGUUAUCUAUUCAUAAGCAAUAUAUUAUAACUCUUAAGCAACAGCUCAAAAUUCUGAUUACCGAACCAUGCGAUCGAAACCCACCUUCGCAAUCAGAAUCAACAUAUACUUACUUUAAGCUUCCUAUCUUUUCUUUGAUUCUUAAAAACAUCAGCAUGUGACCCAUUCACAUUAUGUAAUAAGAAUCUCCAAAUAGGAACUUAAUAGAGUUAGACAGUGGACUUUACCCGAAGUAGAGUCAAACCUCUUGACUUGAUCAACCUUAUGACCUUUCAGGUGAAUAGGGCAGCUUCGCAACCAAUGCCCCUUCCUUUGGCAACAAAACACAUGGACCCUUUGGUAAUGGCACAUGAGACUAUCUCAGACUUAGCCUUUCUCUUUACCAUUUGGUCAACCGAGUUGACUAUGGCCGAUCCCUUUCCAUUGGGAAGAGAAAUCCUUUUCUAGAUAUCCAAUGCUACCAUUGUCAAUGUCCAUUUAAGACUUGGGAAGUUGUUCUUUUAAUCAAAUUUGCUUUACUGGUGUUCCAAAUCAUUGCUGAUUCCACAACACCAAGCAAAUAGAUAACAUCAUUAAGGGUCAUGUCAUAGUCUGUCUCAUAGUAGUCCCAAAGAGACUCACUAUGUUACUAAGAAAGUGAUUGAACAUCCAACUUUCACGAGACUUUGACACCCAACUCUCCCGGCUUGUCAAUAUGUGACUUUAUCUCCAAGAUGUGAGCACACAUAGACUAUGCUUGCCAAUAGGGAUUGAGUGACUUUAAACUUUUCAAGAACUUGUGGGUGAGGGAGAAUAAUUGGAGGAGGUGGAGGAAGUGAAGCAUGAUGUUGAGGGACACCAUCUUCAAGAGAUUUGGGAAGAUCAUAGUUGUCUGAACCAGACAUCUAUAAUGGGAGAAAAUCAAGUUAGUUGAUUCAAAGUCCUUAAUAUAACACCCAAUAUGAAAUAUUAAGGCUAGGACCCAACACAAUAUUUUAUAAUUUGGAAGAGGGAUGCCGUAAUCCAAGCUAUAAAAUAUUUGAAGGUAGGCGAAUGACGAUUCACCAAUUUCCACCAUGAAAAACGAAAUAAUUUAUUAGGUUUUAAUUGGAUUUGAAAUUCCUAGAUCUUUUGAGAUUCAUUGAACUUUUCAAUGGCAUGUUUCAAUCUCGAGUGUGCCCUCUCAAAUUUUGUGACUGGGAUGCCGAGGAUCACAAAACAAGGUGUGAAUAACCAUACCAAUUCACUUGGUACCCUUAAUAUUAUCACCUAAUCAAUGUGCCGGUUAACCACACACGCUCCAUUGAUCUAUGACAAACAUUAAGUCACCCUUCGUGAUCCUUACUAGUCCAAGUUAGUGUGCCGGUUAACCACACACGCUCCACCAACGACUUGGUAAGGUACAAAGUGUGAAUUCCAUGGGCUAGCACCAAAUUCACAUUUUUCCUAAAGUAACUAAGAUUGGGAAUUAAAUAAAAAAUUUUUAGUUACUUUAUAAUAAUCAUUAUACUUUUAAUGAGAAUUUAAAGUCAUUGUCCUACCCGUUCGGCUAACGACCCUCCACCGAUCAAGCAAGCGGUGGGUGAGAGUGGACACCCAUUAAGUCGCCAUUUUAUAGGCAACAACCUUAUACCCACCUUAUAGACCGGCUUCGUGAAUGAGGCCUACUAACGGUAAAACGACUUGUUCUUAUACAUAUAUAUAAUAAUUAACCAUUAAUGUUAUAAAUAGUAUAAGUGUUGAAUUUUAACUUUUAAAACUCUAAGUGUUGGAAUUAAAGUUUAUUAAAGUGUGUGAAACUUUUCAAAUUCCAAAACUUGAGGGCAAGUUUUGUAACUAUCCAAAACUUUUCAUUUCAUAACUUAUGAAUUAAAGGUUCAUAAAAAUGAAGACUCUUCAUUUUCAUGUAACUUAUGUGUUUAAAUGUGUGUGUUAAAGAAAAGUGACCUUUGGAUAUCCAUAACUUGAGGACAAAUUAUGGACUCCAUUAAAACACAUAAAUGAUCAAGAAUUAAUUCUAAACAAUUCAGCAAAUAAUUCCUAUCAUCUUCUAAAUUCAUAAGAACAUGAACAUGAUCAUCAAAAUUUCAAGAAUUAUAUGAACACAUAAAAAUCAUGGAAUUUUGAUAUAUGCUAUUGUAAAUGGAUUAGAACAACCAUUACACCAACUAAAACAAGUUUUAAAACACCAAAACAGUUUAGGGUAAUGUUUCUAGUCCAUUUCCAGCAGCAAAAGUCGAAAUUCUGCAUUCUGAUCAUUCUACUCGCCGAGUGCACGAACCUACUCGCCGAGUAGGAUGAAUUUUGCCUUGAACUCGGCGAGUCCCCCCAUGGACUCGGCGAGUCCAUCAGCCAGACAGCAACAAUUUCAACUUUUUUCACUAUUUUGCAUCAAGUAUCAAACAAGCAAGCCUAGGCUCUGAUACCACUGUUGGGUUUUGAGCAAUCUAACACUUCCUAAGUGUGCAUGCAACCCUAAUAAACCUUGGAUCUAUGUUUGUCUAAAUACAUGCAAAAUAAUAAUUUUUCCAAGGUUCAUAACCUAUCUAACAUGGCAUGGGGUACUUUUAAACAUAAAAGAAUUAGAUGAGAUUACAUACCUUUUGAUGAUGAGUUUGAUUCCUAAGGAGUUUGAGGGCCAAGCACCAAUAGUGUGAAUGCCUCAAAUGGAAUCACAAAUCACCACAAACUCAUAGAAAAAUUUGAGAGAGUGUAUACACACUUAUAAAGUCGGCCACACACUAACACACAUACUCUAGUAACACUAGUCACACUAGUAGGCAUUUCAUGCAACAUAAGCAUGCAUAUAUAGUGUACAUGGUUAGGGUGAAACCCUAAUAACCCAUGACUUUUCCUUUCCCAAGGAUCCAUGGGUUAAAAGCUCCAUGGAUCAUCCAUGGACUUCCAUAUAAGCCUAGCCCAUUAACUAAUGAGUAUUAGCCCACACCAUAUAAAACAAUAGCCCACAAUUUAAUUAGUCUUCCUUUUAAUCUCUAAAUUAAUUCAUAAUUAAUUUAAGACUAACACUAAUUAAAUAACUUCAUAUUAAUAUAUUAUAACUUACAAUAUAUUAAUAAACAUAUGUGUAUAACUCUCAUAAAAUUAUCCAUAAAUAGUUUGGAUGAAAUGCAACCCAAAUGGACCAUGUCGGGUCGGGUCAAGGAUGUACCAAAUAAGUUAUGGACUUAGACACCUUAUCCAACAGACAAACCCUCCCUCAACCCUGCUGUCGCUACAGAGGGUGAGGGGACAAUCUUCGAAUGUUCAUAGGGUAUACCUUUCGCUUCGACGAUGUCAUGAUAAUCCUGGUCACCCAGGGAUAACACUUACAUGGUUAUAUUUUUCCUAUUUACUUUAUUUUGUGAUAUAUUCACAUAAACGAUAAGUUAGACUAUGUACUUUUAGUACUAGUCAAUAGAAAGGAAAAGCUAUCAUUUUACUUACAGAACAUUUAAGUCUUGGUAGAAGACUAUCAUAUCAUUUUCCUAUUUUAUUUUAUCUUAUGAUAUAUUCACAUAAACGAUGAGUUAGACUAAGCACUUUUAGUACUAGUCAAUAGAAAGGAAAAGCUAUCAUUUUACUUACAGAACAUUUAAGUCUUGGUAGAAGACGAUCAUAUCAUUUUCCUAUUUUACUUUAUUUUGUGAUACAUAUACCUAUACAAAGAGUUUGACUAAGUACUUUUAGUACUAGUCAAUACAAAGGAAAAACUAUCAUUUUACUUACAAAACAUUCGGGUCUUGGUUGAAGACUACAUUAUCAUAACAAAACAUUCGGGUCUUGGUAGAAGACUACAUUAUCAUAAAAAAACAUUCGGGUCUUUGUAGUAGACUACAUUGUCAUAAGAAAACAUUCGGGUCUUGGUAGAAGACUACAUCUCAAACUAAUAGAAAAUUAGGGAUUUUCUAGGGCUUUUCAUACUUACAUCAACACUUCCAUUUAAAGGUUUACAUGAAUUUUAAAACAGCUUUUAGUAAGCAAGACAAUGACACUUAAAUACUUAUGAAUUCACCAGCUUUAAAGCUGAUACUCUCUUUCAAAAUAACUUGUAUUCUUAGGUCAUCGGUAGAUAGGUACGAUGGCCAGGAUUUGAGAAGAAGGAGCAGACAAGUCUCGUCUUUUAUUUUGAUUGUAUAUUUUUAGUGUCUUAUUACAAUGAAAGAACACACAUGUAUUAAAACUUUAAUUAUAAUGUAAUGGAUGAUCUUGUUGCUUGGUUACUAUUAUACACUGUUGUGAUACUGUACAUGACGUCCUCCACCCCUGAACGUUUCCGUCGUUCGUGGUUUUGGGGUGUGACAGAUUGGUAUCAGGGCAUUGUUUAUAGUGAACUAAGUAUAUCAACCCAUAAAAGAUAUACUAACUAUAAACACAUUGGGAUUAAAACACUAUGUCUAAGAGUUUAUACUUUUAAAUAAUAAAAUAUUUAACAAAGUAUACGUGCCUGCAUUCAUACUAAAAGCAGUGUCACAAUGACAAGAACAAAAGUAUUACGAUUGUUCAAUAUCACAGGUAAGCUCGGGGAUGUAUGGUCAGUCUUGGGAGUGGCAUAGCCUGAUCAACUAUGCUGUUCCAAAGAGUGAUUAGCACAUGCCCAAGAAUGGUUGUGAUAUGGCAACAAGUCUAAAAACUUACCAUCAUUACCACAACGAGAACAUUAUAACAGAACCUAAGUCGAAAAUACCAUAGGGGUGUUUUGUGGUACUAUAAGUACUUUAUACUUGAGAACUAAAAUGCAAUCUUCAUUCCUAAGUUGAUAAUUGCUAAGUGGAUACACUAAAGUUAUAUGUAACUAGGAUGUUAUAGACUUAGAAUAGGUGAAAUUUUUGCUUUACCCCUAUUCCUUGUGAAUUUGGAGUUGAGGUCACUAUUUGAAGGUCUAUCCUGUGUUGAUUACAUAUAACUGGUAUGCACUUUACAAAUAGCGAUGGAACUAAUGAAGAUUUCCUAAAUAAUUAUCUAGAUAGUUCGUCUAAUAAUUAUUUUCUUACCCCAAAUUCUCACGUAGAUAACAUGGCUGGAUUCCAUCCCCACGACAACCUGUUCCUUCCGAACACGGUUAUUGCUGGAUGGUUUGGAGAAGAAGCAGAUAAUGAUCAUCCAAUCCCUCUGAAUGAUCACCAUGUUGAAGACCUUUCAGACGAUGCCAUCUCCGAACCCGAGGUUGAGGACCUAUCCCAGGCAGCUCCCUUUCCAAUUCCUAACCCUCGUCUGACUUUUCAUGGCCCGACGCCUGAGUGGGUGGAAUGUUUGGAAACAUGGAGCCAAGGACAAGAUCAGCCCAUGCCAUUUAAUGGUGACCGAAGCUUCUAUGACCUGAGCAAUGGGGGCUCAGCAGACAAAAUCAUGCCAAUUCUGAUCCGAAGAGUUUCCCGAACGAAAUUCAGGGCAGGACAGCUCUGCAACGUAUCGCAAAAGUUGAUACAAAUGGAGGAAUGCAUAUGCUUCGCACCAGUCGCCUUGAACAUGCUCGUGAGAGGUCCGAGAGAGACCAUGAAACCUUGCUACAAGCACUGGCUGAAUCACAAGCCGAAGUCAUGGAACUUCGGGUAUGCCAAAGAGUGUACGAAAGACACCUACUUGAUGUCGAACGCCAACUGGCUGAACUGAGAGUUCACCAGAGGGAUGACCGUCGCUAGUAGUAGAUACUUUACUUUAUUUUUCCUUGUUAGAAAGGAAUCGUCUUUCUGUCUAUGCUCGAUGUGGUAUUUUCUAUGAAACUAUCUUGUACUGUAAGUACUUUAGUUAGGCCCUUUAUGCUGUCAAGAACUAUCUUCUCUGGAUAUGAUGUAAGACCUUUUACAAGGUCAUUUUCCCGAACCUGUAGCUCAUGAAUAUCAAAGAUAUUGACAGCUGGCUAACUUUUGAGUCAUUCUUUAUUCAAAUACUCUUAUCAUACUUUUAUUAGAGUCUAUUUGAAACAUGCUCUAGUCAAGUCAUUGGACUAUAGCAAUUUAACUCCGGAGACAUCUCCGAGUCUCUUUUAAUGGUUGGAUCAUGUUGUUCGCCAACCAACGAUACCUCGGCUAGAACGACAAACAUCUUGAGACCAUUGUAAGAACUUACUUCCGAUCUUUGCUAGGACUGCAUCAUAGGGAUGUAGGUCAAACCUUCGUGUACAUAUUUCCAUUCGUGCUAGGACUGCAUCAGAGGGAUGUAGGUCGAACCUUAGAAAACAUACUUCUAUUCUUUUCAUGAGCGAUCAAACUACGUCUAGGUUCAACCAUUUUUGCUCACAAAUUCAUUUCCUUCCAUGUAACAGAAUCAUGUCAUCCAAGAAAGAUGAUCAGCCCAUCAACCAAACACUAACUCUUCAGAUUGAUACAACUACCUUUCAAACUGCAGUCUCGGCUGCCGUGUCAGCUUUUCUGACCCACAUGAACGCUAACAACGCAAGUGUUAGCGGGUUUGUUAAUGACAAUUCCAACCUAAGUAACAAUCCAGUACCCCAACAAGCAACAAAUUACCACGAUACCCCGAGUCCUAAGACGAAGAGUAUCAAACGAAAGUCUUGGACUAACUCUAAGUACAAGUCGCUUCGAAGGGCGAACAUGAAACAACCACCAGUAACAACCUUCACAGCUACGACAUCAAUACCUCCUACUACCAUCCCUUCGGGCGUCCCAAUAGUCCCCAAAACCAGCCAAAAUUUAUGUUGGAAGUCUCUCAAAAUGCAUUAAAUGUAGUUUUCACCACCAUGGACCUUGUAGGGAGAAGCAGUGCUCACACUGCAACAGGAAGGGGCAUACAGCCCGUUUCUGCAGGAUGCCAACAGAUCAGGACGCUCAAGUGCCAAACACCAGUGGGAACCAGGUUUGCUACAGUUGUGGUAAAGUAGGUCACUACAAAAGGAACUACCCGGGGGCAGCAAUUGCUGGCACAGACGAAAGUCUACUACCAACCACCGCCGCAGGAGAGUCUACUUCGGACCCACGUUAAUGUAAUUUAGGCGUUUCGUUGUAACAGACUUAUGAACCAUCCCAAAACUAGUUCAACCAGAGUCUUAUCUUUUGCAGGAUCCCGUCCGUUUAGGGAUGCUCAUGCUGCGUGUACUUGUCUUUUGUUGUAUACCUUGUUCGCAGCAAUAGUCUUGUAGUAAAUCUAAAAGUACAGUAACUCUGUUAAAAGUUGCACUAUUAUGUUUUGGUCUGUAACGCCUUAUGUUCAAAUCUAAUGUCUUUAGUUUCCAUAUGUUUCUGACUUUAUCAUACAACUCGAGUAAAUUUGAUCCUCGCAAUACCAGCUUCAUAAGUACAUCUCUUUCUCAGAAAUCGUCUUUUAGAAAAGUCGUUAAAUCAGAACACCGAAGUACUCAUACAAGGAGUACCUUAUAGUUCUUUUCCUUUCCGAAGGAAUCCCCACAUUAUUGCUCGUGCAGUACGUCAAGUUCAAUUCCAGGAUGAAUACGGUUGAUCUACCACUGAGGAAUGUAUACAUGAGAGUGGUAUAUAAUCAAUGUUCUACAGGUUUUGAAUUGAUGAUUCCACUUUAACUUCUUUUCCCUCGAUGGGAUGUGAGAUUAAGGAAGAAUCAGUUAUUCGACUACCUUUUCAGUCUUAAUUAUAUACAACUCGUAUACGCGAAAUUGUGAUCAUUGAAUCUCGUAUGAAUUCUAAUAUGAACUUCAUGAUGGAGACUGUCCAGGAGUACGAGUAAUUGCAUUGGCAUAGGGACAAACUUAGAACCCAGUAUGACUCUUAUAACCAGAUCGCCUUCAGUUGAAACACCUACGGAAGAUACAAGAAACAGCCCAGACAACACAAUGAACUACUCAACAAUAGAAUUAGGAGACCAGGCUUCUCACCCUUGAGAGCUCCGGUCNUGAGAGCUCCGGUCUUAUUAUUACUAGAAGUCGACGGAGUGCAUCUUAUGUACUUUGACGACCGGGGACUUCAUUAAGAUUUCCUUUAGAAACCGUUGUCUCUUCCUCGCAUAGAUGAGUUGAUAAAGCAACCACAGGGAGAUUGUUACUUUCAGAAAUGGACCUGAGAUCCGAAUAUCACCAGUUCGAGUGUUAGGGAAGGAUGUCCUAAAGACUACCCUCCGAACUCGAUGCAGACCCUUCGAGUCCGUAGUGAUACCCCUUGGAUAGGACCAAUACGCCCAUAGUAUUCAUGAGCUAAAUGAGUAGAGUACGCCUUUCUUACUGGGAUCAGUUCGUCAUUUCUCCAUGUAAUGACUACUUAUCUACCCUCGUAGUAAGAAAGAACCCAUAGGAACAUUACCCUCGGAGAUACUUUCCGCAAAGUUCUCUAAACAAGAUUUUUGGAAUUUAGAGUCAAAUUUCCUGAGAUACACUUUUAGUGUUAUGGAAAUUCUUGAGUACUCUGUCAAAUUAUCCAAAGUCGUUGGGAAUUUGUCGGCACCGUAGUCACCGAUGGAAAAUUCGCCAAAUUCUAGGUCUUACAGACCUACUAUCAUAGUCCAUUCGGGACUCCCCACAAAUUUCAGAAACCCUUUCGACUUUGACCCAGCAAGGGAUGGCCCUUGACUGGGCAGUAAGCGAGAGAAAGAACCUUUGGAAUUCCAAGUGAGAGACCAAAUUCUUUAGGAAACCUCAGUUAGGGAAAGGUUUAAUACGCUUCGUAAAGUGUGGAAAGCUAAAAUCCAAUAUAGUUAGGACCUCCGAGAUUCUAACCAGAAUCGGUCCUGCAUUUCACAAACUAGACCUACUCCGCCAACUUAGUAACGUACGUUUUCCCCUUCGCGUCUCGAACUUGAAACAGUAUCUUUCCGUUAGGAAUUUCGUAAGCCCUCUCAACGAGAUCGAGAUUUACGAGAUCCUUGCCUUCGUAUUAGAACCAUAGUGACCCUCGACCGAGUGGUCAAGCGGACAAAGCAACGCCGCCGCCCAUUAGAGAAGGUUAGUUGGGAUACCAACCGAGAACCCGAUUUCACUUGGGAACGCGAGAACCAAUCUAUUAGGAAGUUUUCACCUAACGACUCGAUCAUUUAUACCUACUUCCUUAUCUAAAUUCUAAUUUCGGGAUGAAAUUCUCUUUAACAGGGGGAUGAUGUGACAACCCAAAAUUUCCUUUCUAAACAAACUAUAUCAAGCCAAUAGAGCUUAGAACAGUUUCAGUGAAAUUCCACACUUCGGGUAUAAGUUUGGCAGUUUUCAGGAUUUACAAUUAAGGAGAUAUCAGGAGAGUGGUUGCACUAGGGUUUUGUGCAACACUGUUAUUCCAACACUCUGUUAUAUUAGAAAUCAUUUCAGGAAUAAAAAUAUUUUCUGCCAAAAAUAUCUCAGGACUAUAAAUAGAAUUCUGAACCAAAUUCAUUCAUUAUUCGCAUUUCCAACUAGAGAAAAGCCAUUUUCUCUCUCACGGAUCUUCGGGUUUUUAUCCCAAAUCGUGCGUAAACUUCUCUAGUUGUCUUAUAAUGCUUAUUAUCUGCUUAAUAACUUAGAUUACAUAUCNUUGGAAUAGUGUCUAAGGCUGCAACUAUAUUAGGCAAGUAUUUGACCCGAUUGUGCAUGGUCCUUUUGGGUUGCCUUCACCAUAGCAACUUGAUAGGAUGAUUUAUUAUGAGAAAAUAAAUAUUAUUAAUAUAUUAUGAGAGUAAUAUAAGGAAUAAUAAUAUUGUUAUUUAAUUAAUAUAAGUCAUAGAUUAAUUAGUAUUAAUUUGGUGACUUAAAGAGAUUAAUUAAAUAAGAGGGUAUAAACUGUCAAUUGUUUGAUAGUUACA
RNAcentral lists this long non-coding RNA (16900 nucleotides) under Lactuca sativa (garden lettuce). RNAcentral's name for it is "long non-coding RNA (LSAT_LNC002672)". The record is from RNAcentral. Lineage: Eukaryota; Viridiplantae; Streptophyta; Magnoliopsida; Asterales; Asteraceae.